RNAcentral lists this ribosomal RNA (404 nucleotides) under Actinomycetes bacterium. Its description in RNAcentral is "Actinobacteria bacterium partial 16S ribosomal RNA". It matches the Rfam family "Bacterial small subunit ribosomal RNA", at positions 355 to 776 of the family's 1533-position model. Lineage: Bacteria; Bacillati; Actinomycetota; Actinomycetes. The record is from RNAcentral.
UGGGGAAUAUUGGACAAUGGGCGCAAGCCUGAUCCAGCCAUGCCGCGUGAGGGAUGAAGGCCCUAGGGUUGUAAAGCUCUUUCACCGGUGAAGAUAAUGACGGUAACCGGAGAAGAAGCCCCGGCUAACUUCGUGCCAGCAGCCGCGGUAAUACGAAGGGGGCUAGCGUUGUUCGGAUUUACUGGGCGUAAAGCGCACGUAGGCGGACUAUUAAGUCAGGGGUGAAAUCCCGGGGCUCAACCCCGGAACUGCCUUUGAUACUGGUAGUCUUGAGUUCGAGAGAGGUGAGUGGAAUUCCGUGUGUAGAGGUGAAAUUCGUAGAUAUUCGGAGGAACACCAGUGGCGAAGGCGGCUCACUGGCUCGAUACUGACGCUGAGGUGCGAAAGCGUGGGGAGCAAACAGG